RNAcentral lists this ribosomal RNA (490 nucleotides) under uncultured bacterium. RNAcentral's name for it is "partial 16S ribosomal RNA". It matches the Rfam family "Bacterial small subunit ribosomal RNA", at positions 30 to 507 of the family's 1533-position model. The record is from RNAcentral.
AUUGAACGCUGGCGGCAGGCCUAACACAUGCAAGUCGAACGGUAACAGGAAGCAGCUUGCUGCUUUGCUGACGAGUGGCGGACGGGUGAGUAAUGUCUGGGAAACUGCCUGAUGGAGGGGGAUAACUACUGGAAACGGUAGCUAAUACCGCAUAACGUCGCAAGACCAAAGAGGGGGACCUUCGGGCCUCUUGCCAUCGGAUGUGCCCAGAUGGGAUUAGCUAGUAGGUGGGGUAACGGCUCACCUAGGCGACGAUCCCUAGCUGGUCUGAGAGGAUGACCAGCCACACUGGAACUGAGACACGGUCCAGACUCCUACGGGAGGCAGCAGUGGGGAAUAUUGCACAAUGGGCGCAAGCCUGAUGCAGCCAUGCCGCGUGUAUGAAGAAGGCCUUCGGGUUGUAAAGUACUUUCAGCGGGGAGGAAGGGAGUAAAGUUGAUACCUUUGCUCAUUGACGUUACCCGCAGAAGAAGCACCGGCUAACUCCGUG